This 754-nucleotide long non-coding RNA is filed under the name Physcomitrium patens. RNAcentral's name for it is "long non-coding RNA (PPAT_LNC007130)". Lineage: Eukaryota; Viridiplantae; Streptophyta; Bryopsida; Funariales; Funariaceae. The record is from RNAcentral.
GCAAUCAAUUUUGACACAUGAAACGUCGACAAAGAAAUUUUGGAAACAGUAAUUGGAACCUCUGUACUCCACCAAUCCAAAACUAUCAUGCCACCUCAGCAAAAAUAACUAAAAAUGGCGUCUUUUCUAAGUGAAUGAAUGAAUGGAUAAGUGCAAGUGGAGCUACUUGUGUAAAUGGUUUGCAUUCUCAACCGAGUCCCUUACAAUCUUCCAAGGCUGCAGUAAGUUCAAAACCCUAAUCCUAAUCAAAGAUUUCCCAUUUUCCACUUGAAACUUGGUAGCAAUUGCUGCGGCAAUCUCAACUUGUGCGGCACACAUGGACUUCAAUAGUAAUGAAGAAUUCCUCAAAGCGUUUCCUCCGAACUUCGAUCCACAAAUUGCCCCUCCGAAGAAAAUCUGGGUGCUGGAUUUGGGUGAUUCAAUACCACAGGUAUUAGUAGUAUGCGACAUGUUUUAGUAUGUGAUUGCGUGAUUUGGGAAGACAACCGAUGCUUUGAAUGAAUCCAAUAACAAACUGGUGCAAAACGUUUCAGGAAAACAUUGCAGCUACAGCUUGGGAGUUCCAAGAGGAAGGUCGUCAUGAAGCACAAUUCAUGGAAACGGAAGAACCGAUGCGGGCUGAGAGGGAACCUGCAGGCAAUGCCAGAAAUGAAACGGAGCAGGGGCAACACGAACCAUUGCCUCCCAAUGAAGCCAUCGCAACUGCCGAGGCUAGGCCAUGGGUUCUGUCAUCUCCAGAACUGGCCGUUUCCAA